This 490-nucleotide ribosomal RNA is filed under the name uncultured bacterium. Its description in RNAcentral is "partial 16S ribosomal RNA". It matches the Rfam family "Bacterial small subunit ribosomal RNA", at positions 30 to 507 of the family's 1533-position model. The record is from RNAcentral.
AUUGAACGCUGGCGGCAUGCUUUACACAUGCAAGUCGAACGGCAGCGGGGUAGUGCUUGCACUACUGCCGGCGAGUGGCGAACGGGUGAGUAAUAUAUCGGAACGUACCGAGUAAUGGGGGAUAACCAAUCGAAAGAUUGGCUAAUACCGCAUACGUCCUGAGGGAGAAAGCGGGGGAUCGCAAGACCUCGCAUUAUUCGAGCGGCCGAUAACUGAUUAGCUAGUUGGUGGGGUAAAGGCCUACCAAGGCGACGAUCAGUAGCGGGUCUGAGAGGACGAUCCGCCACACUGGGACUGAGACACGGCCCAGACUCCUACGGGAGGCAGCAGUGGGGAAUUUUGGACAAUGGGGGCAACCCUGAUCCAGCCAUGCCGCGUGUAUGAAGAAGGCCUUCGGGUUGUAAAGUACUUUUGUUAGGGAAGAAAAGGGAAGUGCUAAUACCACUUUUUGCUGACGGUACCUAAAGAAUAAGCACCGGCUAACUACGUG